Long non-coding RNA from Mauremys reevesii (Reeves's turtle), 320 nucleotides. RefSeq lists it as uncharacterized. NCBI's taxonomy places the organism in Eukaryota, Metazoa, Chordata, Testudines, Geoemydidae. The record is from RefSeq and is a predicted model, not a curated record. The transcript has 3 exons.
UAAUUUAUUUUUGUAGAUGACACUUAGGUGUUGCAAUGCUGAGCAUUGCAAUGCCCAAAUGCUUUUAAAAAUCUGGGUGUAUCACUAAUUAUGUGUGACUUGUUUUCUGGGUGCCUGACUUGGGACCAGAGAGUCUAAUUUGCUGGACUGCGAAGCACUAAGAGCUGCAACUAAAGUCAAUGGGAUCUUUGCUUUGAACAUAUAAAGUACUGUCUAAUGGGGGGAAAAAAAAUCACAUUUGGAUUCAGAUCAAUUGUGAAAAGUGUGGACCCAAAUGGACUAUUGGAGAGCAUUAUGAUGGAUGAAAGAUGGAAGCUGAC